RNAcentral lists this non-coding RNA (23 nucleotides) under Arabidopsis thaliana (thale cress). The record is from RNAcentral. Lineage: Eukaryota; Viridiplantae; Streptophyta; Magnoliopsida; Brassicales; Brassicaceae.
UAAUGUAAGCUCUUCAACUUCUA